UAUUCAUUCUAUAAUAGAGGUAAACUGAUCUAUUCAUUCUAUAAUGGAGGUAAACUGAUCUAUUCACUCUAUAAUGGAGGUAAACUGAUCUAUUCAUUCUAUAAUGGAGGUAAACUGAUCUAUUCACUCUAUAAUGGAGGUAAACUGAUCUAUUCACUCUAAUGGGUGUGAACUGAUCUAUUCACUCGAUAAUAGAGGUAAACUGAUCUAUUCAUUCUAUAAUGGAGGUAAACUGAUCUAUUCACUCUAUAAUGGAGGUAAACUGAUCUAUUCAUUCUAUAAUGGAGGUAAACUGAUCUAUUCAUUCUAUAAUGGAGGUAAACUGAUCUAUUCACUCUAUAAUGGAGGUAAACUGAUCUAUUCAUUCUAUAAUGGAGGUAAACUGAUCUAUUCACUCUAUAAUGGAGGUAAACUGAUCUAUUCAUUCUAUAAUGGAGGUAAACUGAUCUAUUCACUCUAUAAUGGAGGUAAACUGAUCUAUUCAUUCUAUAAUGGAGGUAAACUGAUCUAUUCACUCUAUAAUGUGUGUAAAUUAAUUCCUCUAUAUGUUGUCUAUUGCUAGCAGCACCAUUUCACAUUCUGGGUCUGUAAAUAUACAGUUGAAGUCGGAAGUUUACAUACAUCUUAGCCUAAAUAUAUUUAAACUCAGUUUUUCACUAUUCCUGACAUUUAAUCUUAGUAAAAAUUCCCUGUCUUUGGUCAGUUAGGAUCACCACUUUAUUUUAAGAAUGUGAAAUGUCAGAAUAAUACUAGUGUGAUUUAUUUCAGCUUUUAUUUCUUUCUUCACAUUCCCAGUGGGUCAGAAGUUUACAUACACUCAAUUAGUAUUUGGUAGAAUUGCCUUUAAAUUGUUUAACUUGGGUCAAACGUUUCGAGUAGCCUUCCACAAGCUUCCCAGAAUAAGUUGGGUGAAUUUUGUCCCAUUCCUCCUGACAGAGCUGGUGUAACUGAGUCAGGUUUGUUGGCCUCCUUGCUCGCACACGCUUUUUCAGUUCUGCCCACAAAUGUUCUAGCGGAUUGAUGUCAGGGCUUUGUGAUGGCCACUCCAAUACCUUGACUUUGGAAGUGUGCUUGGGGUCAUUGUCCAUGUGGAAGACCCAUUUGCGACCAAGCUUUAACUUCCUGACUGAUGUCUUGAGAUGUUGCUUUAAUAUAUCAACAUAAUUGUCCAUCCUCAUGAUGUCAUCUAUUUUGUGAAGUGCACCAGACCCUCCUGCAGCAAAGCACCCGCACAACAUGAUGUUGGGAUGGUGUUCUUCGGCUUGCAAAGCAUCCCCCAUUUUUUAUUUUUGUUUCAUCAGACCAGAAGACAUUUCUCCAAAAAGUACAAUCUUUGUCCCCAUGUGCAGUUGCAAACUGUCUUUUUUUUAUGGCGGUUUUGGAGCAGUGGCUUCCACCAUGCUGAGCGGCCUUUCAGGUUAUGUCGAUAUAGGACUCAUUUUACUGUGGAUAUAGAUACUUUUGUACCUGUUUCCUCCAGCAUCUUCACAAGGUCCUUUGCUGUUGCUCUGGGAUUGAUUUGCACUUUUCGCACCAAAGUACGUUCAUCUCUAGGAGACAGAACGCGUCUCCUUCCUGAGCGUUAUGACGACUGCGUGGUCCCAUGGUGUUUAUACAU
Oncorhynchus keta (chum salmon) is the source of this 1618-nucleotide long non-coding RNA. RefSeq lists it as uncharacterized. Lineage: Eukaryota; Metazoa; Chordata; Actinopteri; Salmoniformes; Salmonidae. The record is from RefSeq and is a predicted model, not a curated record. The transcript has 3 exons.